AGAGAUAGGGCGUGNUCCUGCGGGAACGCAUGACAGGUGGUGCAUGGUCGUCGUCAGCUCGUGUCGUGAGAUGUUGGGUUAAGUCCCGCAACGAGCGCAACCCUUGUUACUAGUUGCCAGCAUUAAGUUGGGCACUCUAGUGAGACUGCCGGUGACAAACCGGAGGAAGGUGGGGACGACGUCAGAUCAUCAUGCCCCUUAUGACCUGGGCUACACACGUGCUACAAUGGACGGUACAACGAGUCGCGAACUCGCGAGGGCAAGCAAAUCUCUUAAAACCGUUCUCAGUUCGGACUGCAGGCUGCAACUCGCCUGCACGAAGUCGGAAUCGCUAGUAAUCGCGGAUCAGCAUGCCGCGGUGAAUACGUUCCCGGGUCUUGUACACAC
Molecule: ribosomal RNA, 387 nt
Filed under: Limosilactobacillus fermentum
Lineage: Bacteria; Bacillati; Bacillota; Bacilli; Lactobacillales; Lactobacillaceae
Description: bacterial SSU rRNA
Rfam family: Bacterial small subunit ribosomal RNA
Source: RNAcentral